RNAcentral lists this ribosomal RNA (254 nucleotides) under uncultured bacterium. RNAcentral describes it as "partial 16S ribosomal RNA". It matches the Rfam family "Bacterial small subunit ribosomal RNA", at positions 524 to 776 of the family's 1533-position model. The record is from RNAcentral.
UACGUAGGGUGCGAGCGUUGUCCGGAAUUAUUGGGCGUAAAGAGCUCGUAGGCGGUUUGUUGCGUCGGCCGUGAAACCUGCAGCUUAACUGUGGGCCUGCGGCCGAUACGGGCAGACUUGAGUUCGGUAGGGGAGACUGGAAUUCCUGGUGUAGCGGUGAAAUGCGUAGAUAUGUGGAGGAACACCGAUGGCCGGAAGGCAGCCCCCUGGGUCAAGACUGACGCUCAUGCACGAAAGCGUGGGGAGCAAACAGG